CCCUUAGACGUUCUGGGCCGCACGCGCGCUACACUGACGAAGGCAACGAGCUUUCCUUUACCGAAAGGUACGGGUAAUCUUUUGAAACUUCGUCGUGCUGGGGAUAGAUCCUUGCAAUUAUUGAUCUUAAACGAGGAAUUCCUAGUAAGCGCAAGUCAUCAACUUGCGUUGAUUACGUCCCUGCCCUUUGUACACACCGCCCGUCGCUCCUACCGAUUGAAUGUUCCGGUGAGCUCUUCGGACUGCGCGGUCUGCAGUUUCUGCGUUCCGUGCGGAAAGUUGCGCAAACCUUAACAUUUAGAGGAAGGAGAAGUCGUAACA
RNAcentral lists this ribosomal RNA (321 nucleotides) under uncultured eukaryote. RNAcentral describes it as "partial 18S ribosomal RNA". It matches the Rfam family "Eukaryotic small subunit ribosomal RNA", at positions 1470 to 1796 of the family's 1831-position model. The record is from RNAcentral.